This is a long non-coding RNA of Saccostrea cuccullata (small rock oyster), 258 nucleotides long. RefSeq lists it as uncharacterized. The record is from RefSeq and is a predicted model, not a curated record. The transcript is spliced from 3 exons. Lineage: Eukaryota; Metazoa; Mollusca; Bivalvia; Ostreida; Ostreidae.
CAUGUACAUUGUUGUAUACUAAAAUAAGGAAACAUUCUAUCAAGGAAGCAUUCAUUUAAAAAAAGAUUACCUAUAACAUGGAUAUUUUCAAAUGGCUUUUUCUGGUUAUUCUGGUUAUUGCUGUCCUGCAUUUCAUUCAUUCAGUCCAGACUUAUACGCUACAAAGGAAAAUAUGUGUGGACAUUCCUAUGAAAUUUGCGGGAAGGAAACUGGCUUGUGAUUUUACGUUACCGGAGGCAAGGAGAUUUCUUCAGGGAG